AUGGCUCAGGAUGAACGCUAGCGGCAGGCCUAAUACAUGCAAGUCGUACGGUAAACGGCCCUUCGGGGCUGUGAGAGUGGCGGACGGGUGCGUAACGCGUAUGCAACCAACCCCCGACAGGCGGACAGCCGGUGGAAACGCCGGAUAAUACGCCAUACGGCCGCGGUGAGGCAUCUCACCGUGGUCAAAGCCUCGGCGGUCGGGGACGGGCAUGCGUGCCAUUAGAUAGUCGGCGGGGUGACGGCCCACCGAGUCGACGAUGGCUAGGGGAUCUGAGAGGACGGUCCCCCACACUGGUACUGAGACACGGACCAGACUCCUGCGGGAGGCAGCAGUAAGGGAUAUUGGGCAAUGGGGGAAACCCUGACCCAGCCAAUGCCGCGUGAGGGAAUGAGGCCCUACGGGUCGUGAACCUCUUUUAUUCGGGGACAAGGACGGGGUCGUGAACUCCGUUUGAGGGUACCGAAGGAAUAAGCGUCGGCUAACUCCGUGCCAGCCGCAGC
RNAcentral lists this ribosomal RNA (503 nucleotides) under uncultured bacterium. RNAcentral's name for it is "bacterial SSU rRNA". It matches the Rfam family "Bacterial small subunit ribosomal RNA", at positions 19 to 518 of the family's 1533-position model. The record is from RNAcentral.